UGAGGAAUAUUGGGCAAUGCCCGCAAGGGUGACCCAGCAACGCCGCGUGGAGGAUGAAUGUCGUAAGAUUGUAAACUCCUGUUAGAGGGGAAGAAUAGUACCGGUUGGACCGGUAUAUGACUGUACCCUCAGAGAAAGCCCCGGCUAACUACGUGCCAGCAGCCGCGGUAAUACGUAGGGGGCAAGCGUUGUCCGGAUUUACUGGGUGUAAAGGGCGCGCAGGCGGGAUAAAAAGUCAGUGGUGAAAUCCUACAGCUUAACUGUAGAACUGCCUUUGAUACUUUUAUUCUUGAGUUCGGAAGAGAGAGACGGAAUUCCAGGUGUAGUGGUGAAAUACGUAGAUAUCUGGAAGAACACCAGUUGCGAAGGCGGUCUCUUGGUCCGACACUGACGCUGAGGCGCGAAAGCGUGGGGAGCAAACA
This 422-nucleotide ribosomal RNA is filed under the name uncultured bacterium. Its description in RNAcentral is "bacterial SSU rRNA". It matches the Rfam family "Bacterial small subunit ribosomal RNA", at positions 355 to 774 of the family's 1533-position model. The record is from RNAcentral.